RNAcentral lists this ribosomal RNA (465 nucleotides) under Vreelandella stevensii. RNAcentral describes it as "partial 16S ribosomal RNA". It matches the Rfam family "Bacterial small subunit ribosomal RNA", at positions 338 to 795 of the family's 1533-position model. Lineage: Bacteria; Pseudomonadati; Pseudomonadota; Gammaproteobacteria; Oceanospirillales; Halomonadaceae. The record is from RNAcentral.
CCUACGGGAGGCAGCAGUGGGGAAUAUUGGACAAUGGGGGGAACCCUGAUCCAGCCAUGCCGCGUGUGUGAAGAAGGCCCUCGGGUUGUAAAGCACUUUCAGUGAGGAAGAACGCCUGGUGGUUAAUACCCAUCAGGAAAGACAUCACUCACAGAAGAAGCACCGACUAACUCCGUGCCAGCAGCCGCGGUAAUACGGAGGGUGCGAGCGUUAAUCGGAAUUACUGGGCGUAAAGCGCGCGUAGGUGGCUUGAUAAGCCGGUUGUGAAAGCCCCGGGCUCAACCUGGGAACGGCAUCCGGAACUGUCAAGCUAGAGUGCAGGAGAGGAAGGUAGAAUUCCCGGUGUAGCGGUGAAAUGCGUAGAGAUCGGGAGGAAUACCAGUGGCGAAGGCGGCCUUCUGGACUGACACUGACACUGAGGUGCGAAAGCGUGGGUAGCAAACAGGAUUAGAUACCCGAGUAGUC